Molecule: ribosomal RNA, 120 nt
Filed under: uncultured bacterium
Lineage: Bacteria
Description: partial 16S ribosomal RNA
Rfam family: Bacterial small subunit ribosomal RNA
Source: RNAcentral
UCGGUCUGGGAUGGACUCGCGGCCUAUCAGCUAGUUGGUGAGGUAACGGCCCACCAAGGCGACGACGGGUAGCCGGCCUGAGAGGGUGACCGGCCACACUGGGACUGAGACACGGCCCAG